UGCAAUGAUGAUGUUAUUGAAUUAAUCUCGUUAAUCUGAUUAUUUCUGAGGAAAAUCUUUCUAUCCAUUCUAAAUCCACUGAGC
Lycium barbarum (goji berry) is the source of this 84-nucleotide small nucleolar RNA. RefSeq annotates it as small nucleolar RNA U30. NCBI's taxonomy places the organism in Eukaryota, Viridiplantae, Streptophyta, Magnoliopsida, Solanales, Solanaceae. The record is from RefSeq and is a predicted model, not a curated record. The transcript has a single exon.